Molecule: ribosomal RNA, 250 nt
Filed under: uncultured bacterium
Lineage: Bacteria
Description: partial 16S ribosomal RNA
Rfam family: Bacterial small subunit ribosomal RNA
Source: RNAcentral
GGGGGAAUAUUGGACAAUGGGGGCAACCCUGAUCCAGCCAUGCCGCGUGAGUGAUGAAGGCCUUCGGGUUGUAAAACUCUUUUGACGGGGACGAUGAUGACGGUACCCGUAGAAUAAGCACCGGCUAACUUCGUGCCAGCAGCCGCGGUAAUACGAAGGGUGCUAGCGUUGUUCGGAAUUACUGGGCGUAAAGGGCGCGUAGGCGGUUUGGCAAGUUGGAUGUGAAAGCCCAGGGCUCAACCCUGGAAUU